GUAAGUCAAGAACGGGUGUGAGAGUGGAAAGUUCACACUGUGACGGUAGCUUACCAGAAAGGGACGGCUAACUACGUGCCAGCAGCCGCGGUAAUACGUAGGUCCCGAGCGUUGUCCGGAUUUAUUGGGCGUAAAGCGAGCGCAGGCGGUUUGAUAAGUCUGAAGUUAAAGGCUGUGGCUCAACCAUAGUUCGCUUUGGAAACUGUCAAACUUGAGUGCAGAAGGGGAGAGUGGAAUUCCAUGUGUAGCGGUGAAAUGCGUAGAUAUAUGGAGGAACACCGGUGGCGAAAGCGGCUCUCUGGUCUGUAACUGACGCUGAGGCUCGAAAGCGUGGGGAGCGAACAGGAUUAGAUACCCUGGUAGUCCACGCCGUAAACGAUGAGUGCUAGGUGUUGGAUCCUUUCCGGGAUUCAGUGCCGAAGCUAACGCAUUAAGCACUCCGCCUGGGGAGUACGACCGCAAGGUUGAAACUCAAAGGAAUUGACGGGGGCCCGCACAAGCGGUGGAGCAUGUGGUUUAAUUCGAAGCAACGCGAAGAACCUUACCAGGUCUUGACAUCCCGAUGCUAUUUCUAGAGAUAGAAAGUUACUUCGGUACAUCGGUGACAGGUGGUGCAUGGUUGUCGUCAGCUCGUGUCGUGAGAUGUUGGGUUAAGUCCCGCAACGAGCGCAACCCCUAUUGUUAGUUGCCAUCAUUCAGUUGGGCACUCUAGCGAGACUGCCGGUAAUAAACCGGAGGAAGGUGGGGAUGACGUCAAAUCAUCAUGCCCCUUAUGACCUGGGCUACACACGUGCUACAAUGGUUGGUACAACGAGUUGCGAGUCGGUGACGGCGAGCUAAUCUCUUAAAGCCAAUCUCAGUUCGGAUUGUAGGCUGCAACUCGCCUACAUGAAGUCGGAAUCGCUAGUAAUCGCGGAUCAGCACGCCGCGGUGAAUACGUUCCCGGGCCUUGUACACACCGCCCGUCACACCACGAGAGUUUGUAACACCCGAAGUCGGUGAGGUAACC
This 1009-nucleotide ribosomal RNA is filed under the name Streptococcus thermophilus. RNAcentral's name for it is "bacterial SSU rRNA". It matches the Rfam family "Bacterial small subunit ribosomal RNA", at positions 438 to 1440 of the family's 1533-position model. The record is from RNAcentral. Lineage: Bacteria; Bacillati; Bacillota; Bacilli; Lactobacillales; Streptococcaceae.